RNAcentral lists this ribosomal RNA (2922 nucleotides) under Klebsiella pneumoniae subsp. pneumoniae. RNAcentral's name for it is "bacterial LSU rRNA". It matches the Rfam family "Bacterial large subunit ribosomal RNA". The record is from RNAcentral. Lineage: Bacteria; Pseudomonadati; Pseudomonadota; Gammaproteobacteria; Enterobacterales; Enterobacteriaceae.
GGGUUGUGAGGUUAAGCGACUAAGCGUACACGGUGGAUGCCCUGGCAGUCAGAGGCGAUGAAGGACGUGCUAAUCUGCGAAAAGCGUCGGUAAGGUGAUAUGAACCGUUAUAACCGGCGAUGUCCGAAUGGGGAAACCCAGUGUGAUUCGUCACACUAUCGUUAACUGAAUACAUAGGUUAACGAGGCGAACCGGGGGAACUGAAACAUCUAAGUACCCCGAGGAAAAGAAAUCAACCGAGAUUCCCCCAGUAGCGGCGAGCGAACGGGGAGCAGCCCAGAGUCUGAAUCAGCUUGUGUGUUAGUGGAACGGUCUGGAAAGUCCGACGGUACAGGGUGAUAGUCCCGUACACCAAAAUGCACAGGUUGUGAACUCGAAGAGUAGGGCGGGACACGUGGUAUCCUGUCUGAAUAUGGGGGGACCAUCCUCCAAGGCUAAAUACUCCUGACUGACCGAUAGUGAACCAGUACCGUGAGGGAAAGGCGAAAAGAACCCCGGCGAGGGGAGUGAAAAAGAACCUGAAACCGUGUACGUACAAGCAGUGGGAGCACCUUCGGGUGUGACUGCGUACCUUUUGUAUAAUGGGUCAGCGACUUAUAUUCUGUAGCAAGGUUAACCGUAUAGGGGAGCCGCAGGGAAACCGAGUCUUAACUGGGCGUUAAGUUGCAGGGUAUAGACCCGAAACCCGGUGAUCUAGCCAUGGGCAGGUUGAAGGUUGGGUAACACUAACUGGAGGACCGAACCGACUAAUGUUGAAAAAUUAGCGGAUGACUUGUGGCUGGGGGUGAAAGGCCAAUCAAACCGGGAGAUAGCUGGUUCUCCCCGAAAGCUAUUUAGGUAGCGCCUCGUGAACUCAUCUUCGGGGGUAGAGCACUGUUUCGGCUAGGGGGUCAUCCCGACUUACCAACCCGAUGCAAACUACGAAUACCGAAGAAUGUUAUCACGGGAGACACACGGCGGGUGCUAACGUCCGUCGUGAAGAGGGAAACAACCCAGACCGCCAGCUAAGGUCCCAAAGUCAUGGUUAAGUGGGAAACGAUGUGGGAAGGCACAGACAGCCAGGAUGUUGGCUUAGAAGCAGCCAUCAUUUAAAGAAAGCGUAAUAGCUCACUGGUCGAGUCGGCCUGCGCGGAAGAUGUAACGGGGCUAAACCAUGCACCGAAGCUGCGGCAGCGACACUAUGUGUUGUUGGGUAGGGGAGCGUUCUGUAAGCCUGCGAAGGUGUGCUGUGAGGCAUGCUGGAGGUAUCAGAAGUGCGAAUGCUGACAUAAGUAACGAUAAAGCGGGUGAAAAGCCCGCUCGCCGGAAGACCAAGGGUUCCUGUCCAACGUUAAUCGGGGCAGGGUGAGUCGACCCCUAAGGCGAGGCCGAAAGGCGUAGUCGAUGGGAAACAGGUUAAUAUUCCUGUACUUGGUGUUACUGCGAAGGGGGACGGAGAAGGCUAUGUUAGCCGGGCGACGGUUGUCCCGGUUUAAGCAUGUAGGCUGAUUGUCCAGGCAAAUCCGGAUAAUCAAGGCUGAGGUGUGAUGACGAGGCACUACGGUGCUGAAGUAACAAAUGCCCUGCUUCCAGGAAAAGCCUCUAAGCAUCAGGUAACAUCAAAUCGUACCCCAAACCGACACAGGUGGUCAGGUAGAGAAUACCAAGGCGCUUGAGAGAACUCGGGUGAAGGAACUAGGCAAAAUGGUGCCGUAACUUCGGGAGAAGGCACGCUGGUGUGUAGGUGAAGUCCCUGCGGAUGGAGCUGAGACCAGUCGAAGAUACCAGCUGGCUGCAACUGUUUAUUAAAAACACAGCACUGUGCAAACACGAAAGUGGACGUAUACGGUGUGACGCCUGCCCGGUGCCGGAAGGUUAAUUGAUGGGGUUAUCCGUAAGGAGAAGCUCUUGAUCGAAGCCCCGGUAAACGGCGGCCGUAACUAUAACGGUCCUAAGGUAGCGAAAUUCCUUGUCGGGUAAGUUCCGACCUGCACGAAUGGCGUAAUGAUGGCCAGGCUGUCUCCACCCGAGACUCAGUGAAAUUGAACUCGCUGUGAAGAUGCAGUGUACCCGCGGCAAGACGGAAAGACCCCGUGAACCUUUACUAUAGCUUGACACUGAACAUUGAGCCUUGAUGUGUAGGAUAGGUGGGAGGCUUUGAAGCGUGGACGCCAGUCUGCGUGGAGCCAACCUUGAAAUACCACCCUUUAAUGUUUGAUGUUCUAACGUUGGCCCCUUACCGGGGUUGCGGACAGUGUCUGGUGGGUAGUUUGACUGGGGCGGUCUCCUCCCAAAGCGUAACGGAGGAGCACGAAGGUUAGCUAAUCCUGGUCGGACAUCAGGAGGUUAGUGCAAUGGCAUAAGCUAGCUUGACUGCGAGCGUGACGGCGCGAGCAGGUGCGAAAGCAGGUCAUAGUGAUCCGGUGGUUCUGAAUGGAAGGGCCAUCGCUCAACGGAUAAAAGGUACUCCGGGGAUAACAGGCUGAUACCGCCCAAGAGUUCAUAUCGACGGCGGUGUUUGGCACCUCGAUGUCGGCUCAUCACAUCCUGGGGCUGAAGUAGGUCCCAAGGGUAUGGCUGUUCGCCAUUUAAAGUGGUACGCGAGCUGGGUUUAGAACGUCGUGAGACAGUUCGGUCCCUAUCUGCCGUGGGCGCUGGAGAAUUGAGGGGGGCUGCUCCUAGUACGAGAGGACCGGAGUGGACGCAUCACUGGUGUUCGGGUUGUCAUGCCAAUGGCACUGCCCGGUAGCUAAAUGCGGAAGAGAUAAGUGCUGAAAGCAUCUAAGCACGAAACUUGCCCCGAGAUGAGUUCUCCCUGAGACUUUAAGUCUCCUGAAGGAACGUUGAAGACGACGACGUUGAUAGGCCGGGUGUGUAAGCGCAGCGAUGCGUUGAGCUAACCGGUACUAAUGAACCGUGAGGCUUAACCUUACAACGCCGAAG